CUUUCUCAAGCGAGUGGCGAACGGGUGAGUAACGCGUGAGGAACCUGCCUCAAAGAGGGGGACAACAGUUGGAAACGACUGCUAAUACCGCAUAAGCCCACGACCUGGCAUCGGGUAGAGGGAAAAGGAGCAAUCCGCUUUGAGAUGGCCUCGCGUCCGAUUAGCUAGUUGGUGAGGUAAUGGCCCACCAAGGCGACGAUCGGUAGCCGGACUGAGAGGUUGAACGGCCACAUUGGGACUGAGACACGGCCCAGACUCCUACGGGAGGCAGCAGUGGGGAAUAUUGCACAAUGGGGGAAACCCUGAUGCAGCGACGCCGCGUGGAGGAAGAAGGUCUUCGGAUUGUAAACUCCUGUUGUUGAGGAAGAUAAUGACGGUACUCAACAAGGAAGUGACGGCUAACUACGUGCCAGCAGCCGCGGUAAAACGUAGGUCACAAGCGUUGUCCGGAAUUACUAGGUGUAAAGGGAGCGCAGGCGGGAAGACAAGUUGGAAGUGAAAUCCAUGGGCUCAACCCAUGAACUGCUUUCAAAACUGUUUUUCUUGAGUAGUGCAGAGGUAGGCGGAAUUCCCGGUGUAGCGGUGGAAUGCGUAGAUAUCGGGAGGAACACCAGUGGCGAAGGCG
This 625-nucleotide ribosomal RNA is filed under the name uncultured Lachnospiraceae bacterium. Its description in RNAcentral is "bacterial SSU rRNA". It matches the Rfam family "Bacterial small subunit ribosomal RNA", at positions 82 to 723 of the family's 1533-position model. The record is from RNAcentral. Lineage: Bacteria; Bacillati; Bacillota; Clostridia; Lachnospirales; Lachnospiraceae.